RNAcentral lists this ribosomal RNA (468 nucleotides) under uncultured bacterium. RNAcentral's name for it is "partial 16S ribosomal RNA". It matches the Rfam family "Bacterial small subunit ribosomal RNA", at positions 28 to 507 of the family's 1533-position model. The record is from RNAcentral.
GAUGAACGCUGGCGGCGUGCUUAACACAUGCAAGUCGAACGGAAAGGCUCUGAUAUUGUGGGGUGAUCGAGUGGAGAAUGGGUGAGUAACACGUGAGUAACAUGCCCUUGACAAUGGGAUAAAUACAGGAAAAUGGGGCUAAUAACGGAUAGGAGAUACUGCAGCAUGGUGGGGGUUGGAAAGCUAGGGCGGUUGGGGAUGGACUCGCGGCGUAUCAGCUUGUUGGUGGGGUAGUGGCUUACCAAGGCUCUGACGGGUAGCCGGCCUGUGAGGGUGACCGGCCGCAUUGGUACUGAGAUACGGCCGAGACUCCUACGGGAGGCAGCAGUGGGGAGUAUUGCACAAUGAGCGGAAGCCAGAUUCAUGAACGCCGCGUGCGUGAUGACGGCCUUCGGGUUGUAAACCGCUUUCGCCUGUAACGGAGCGUGAGUGACGGUAAUGUAUAAGGAAGCACCGGCUAACUACGUG